RNAcentral lists this long non-coding RNA (5930 nucleotides) under Sus scrofa (pig). Its description in RNAcentral is "lncRNA (ENSSSCG00000054033.1)". Lineage: Eukaryota; Metazoa; Chordata; Mammalia; Artiodactyla; Suidae. The record is from RNAcentral.
UCACCAACAUUUGAGAAAGUAAUGAUAGCCCUGACCCCUUUGGGAUAGGAGUGCUUAGAGUGGAGAAUGAGUUAGCUGGAGCUUGCAGAUAAUUCUGUAUCAUGGAAAGCCCAGCCUAUUGAAAUAUGGGAGAGUUGGACCCUUUAAAUCUGCAGAGGUGUCUGUAUUUCUUCCUCGCCAUGCCAUGAUAAUCACAGGUGUCAUGUGGGUCCCCUGAGAUCCUCUGAGGAAGAUGAGCUUCAGUCUUCUCCAUGUGGGCUGAAUUGGCUCUGAGUUCUUCUCCAUAGUCCUUCUCCAUGUUUCUCUGCCUGCUCUGCCAGGAGGCUGACCACUAGGGACUGUGCCACAGGCAUCUUUGCACUCUGGCUUCCGGUUGGGGAAGACUUUUGCACGUGAGGAAGGACCACAAGGAAACUGAGAGGAGAGAGGUCUGGGGGGUUCAUUCCUCAGCUCCCUCCUUGGUCACAGGUGGGCAGGGGGUGCGUUCCUCCAUAGGAGGCCACAGUUCCUGUUGGUGACCUGCUCCUUCCUUCACCCAGAGCCACAGCUCCUUCUGGGUUUUGACAACCACUCCAUUCCCUUGCCUGUUUGGUCCUAAGAGCAGUAAUGGCUUCCAAAUGGUCUUAAGACCCACACACCCUCACCAUCCUUUGCUGGUUUCCUCUAACCCUACCCACAAUUUUAUACUCUCUUCAUUAAGCUCUCCUCAGUUAUCCCCAUUUAGUGUACCAACCCUCUGCUCAUAGAGCAUAUUACCUUUAUUCCCCAAGGGCUGUGCCUACGGAAGGUAGGCAGCAGUGAGAAGGGAGACCUAGCAGGUAUAAUUGCGUCUUCCUUAGAAAAUCCUGGCUUUAUGCCAUAUCAUUCACAUCCCAAUAGUACAUGACUUAGAUUAGCCAAGCUUAAUCUUAGAACAGUGUUUGUCUGCCUUCAUCUCCAAGGGUUUCUAUGUGCUCUAAAACUCGCUCUUUAGAAUACUAAAGUACAGGAGAGUGUUCCUUUUAAAACUAACAGGUUUAUCUGGGUGUCAACAAUGUUCCAGGCUAUUCUUUAUCUAAAUUCAUCCAACUCUAUUACUCACUGUACUUUUUCAUGCCUCCAUGUAGCUUUCUGACCUUGGACGUCUUUUCUACGCAUCCCCAGCUCUUCAUACCUCAGUCUUUCUUGUCCAGUUAACACUACUCCUCUUAAUUCAUCCGUCUAGCUGUGUGCUAAAUUUUGAGCAUUGCUACAUGGUAGAUGCCUCAACAAAAGAGACACAUGAAAGCCUUUCCUAAAAGUCCAUUCUCUUCUCUUCUGGCUCCAGAAACCAUGCACUGGUUCUGUUAUGAUCACAUUCUUGGCACUCUUAGCAUUAUCUUCAGGCCUGUCUUUGCCACUUUAUCAUGAGCUUCUUGAGGACAGAACAUACGUUUUGAUCUCAGUCAUCUCCUUAAGAACCGCAUACAUAUCGAGUACAUAGCAUGUACUUAGUUAUUGCCUGAAGAAUCAAAAUGAGUCACUGAGAUAGCCUUACCUCUAAGGGCCAGCAAAUGCACUGAACAACUGAUCUGACAUGGAAGAAUGCAUUCACAGGCUGGAACCUGUCAGAUAUUCCAGAGUUGGGAAUUCGUGGGUUUUGGCCAACUUGAGCAACUUAUACUUAAGACAGUGAUAUUAAACCCCGGAAAGGGGGCAUUUCACAGAAAGCUAGAACAGAGAAGUUGCCCAAUCAAAGCUGCCCCAGUCACAAAGUAAGUUCAGUUCCUCCCCACCUCCUCAGUCCUUCUCCUCCCUAAAGCUUUAAAUAACUAGCCAGAACAGCUUUAGUCACUCUGGAAAAAUUUAUGUAACUUCUGAUAAAGUCUAGCCCCAACAUCCCUCUCAUGCUGACUCAUUUGCCCAAAAUAUGCCUGACCAGUGAGGCAGAAAUAAUGACUUUUACUGGCUUUUAACGAUCAGUCUCCCAGCUCUGUUUCCCUUAGUCCUGGGGCAGAUUCUAAUUUGGUACAGAAAAAAAAAAGUAUGCUUGCCAAUUUUCAUCUUGGAAUGACUGAAGAAAAUGUAUAUGAUUAUGCUAAAGGCACAUAUAUUUAUAUUAAAGUGUCAUUCACAGCCUCCACCCCCACUUCACACUCCACCAUCUCUCCCAUCACCAGAUAAUUGUUUCAACCUAAUUGCAUCUUGGACUUAUGCCAUUGCCCUAUAUUAAAAGAAAUGAAGUUAAACAUCACCGCAAGGAGAUUAAGAAUAACAUCUUCUUUAUAGAAACUUUCAGAAAACCUUUCUACUUUGCUAUGGGGAAUGGCUGUCAAUUGACAAAGCAAUUGAUUUGAUUUAUCUUAUGUUAGAAGUAUUGCAAUAAGUGUCAUUGAUUCAGUUUCCCUUUAUAUACUAGAACUGUGAAAGGUUCCAGCCAAUGUUUGCACCCCAUUUGCAAAGAGGGUAGGUCUCUGAAAGGCAUGGUUUUAUUUAGCCCUCACUUCUGCUUCCAUUUCACAUUCACGCCUCUUUGGCCCUUUCUUUGUCUUCUGCUUUAGACUUGUCUUGAUAUAUCUUUUGUAUUUUUGUGGGAUGCCUAAAUACUUUAUGGAAAAGGAAAGGGCAUACCAAAAAUUUAAUGAUCCCUUCCUACCUCAGCUCACUCACACAUAACAGUGAUAAUGCUCAAAGUGAAGGCCAAGAUAUGGGGGCACAGAUUCUGCUUCUCCAUACAUAGAGACCAGAUGGAAAAGGAAAGAAUCAAUCUGCAAAGAGCCAUCCCACUCCCUCAAUACACACCUCCACCUUCCGAAAUGCUAUUGCCUCUGUUUUCUCCCAGCAUAACUGGUGUUUAGAGGUAAUUGAUGUCCUUGACCCAUCCUUUAUAGGAAUUAGGGUGAGAACACAGGUGCAUGUGUUAAUUUGUGUAUUCAUAAUUGCAAAAUGGAAUCCAUUGAUUCUCCCUUGAUACCUUACCAUUUAGAGCUAAACUGUGCCAUGUGCCCUUCCUUAAUCUGGUGAGAACAAUUUGGAAAGUCUAGGAUCAUAGAAUGUUAAAGCUAUCAAGACCUUUGUAGUGAUCUGUUGUUCCAGGCAUAAAUGUGUGUUUGCGGAUGUAUGUUUUCCUAAACUUAGUUGCAAAAUUAGCUUAUGCUUGAUUUAAGAAUAUCAAAUUGCCCUGAAAUAUAAGUACAGUAUAAGUCUGAUCACCCUUAUUUGUACUUCUCAGAAUAAGCACCAACAAUAGGAGCUUUUCUUCAUUCAUUCAAAAAUAUUUAUUGAGCACCAGUUAUGUAUUAGGCUCUGUGGAUCCAGACAGGCAGACAAAAGUAAAUAGAGAAAAUAAUAACAGUUAUUUCACUGUAAGGAGACCUUUUUUUUUUUUUUUUUUUUGGUUCAAGUCUAAGUGAUGGGAGAAACAAUGGGGUGGUUUUUUUGUUUUGUUUUAUUUUAUUUUUUGUCUUUUAGGGCCGCUCCCACAGCUUAUGGUUCCCAGGCUAGGGGUCGAAUCAGAGCUGUAGCCACUGGCCUACACCACGGCAACUUCAAAUCCGAGUUGCAUCUUCGACCUAGACCACAGCUCACGGCAGCACCAGAUCCUUAACCCACUGAGCAAGGCCAGGGGUCGAAUCUGCAUCCUCAUGGAUGGUAGUCCGAUUCGUUUCCAUUGAGCCACGACGGGAGCUCCAACUAGGUGGUUUUUAAAUGGGAGAGUGGCAUCUUUAACAUCCAAAAACCUUUUGUGCGGGCAGAAAUGAUCUAAAGGGAUGCCUGAAGAUUAAUUUUCAGGGAGGCAUCAUCUAGUGGGAAGAAAGACUGUGUAUGAUUGUUUUUGUAGUGCUGAGGCUCAUAGCUGUUUCCUGUUGCAUUUAAUCCUACAAGAAUAUUAAUGAUAAUAAGAAACAAUAAGCUGCCAUGGCAGACUCAUCAAGAUCUACCUCCUGUCAUACCAAUACCUGAGUUCACAGGCAGAACAUCCAGUUGAGGCAAAGGGACAGUGGGAAGCUGAUACAGGCUCUGCUGACCCACCUGUCUGCAGCACUAAGGUGGCCUAUGCCUAUUCUUUUUACAAUAACUAAUAUCUACAUAUAUAUUCUUAAAAAGAGUUUUGGUUUGAAAUAGCUUAAUAUUCUCAAUAAAUCUCGAAAAUAGUAUGGAGAAUUUCCACGUACCCAUCACCCAGCUUCCUCCAAUGAUAAUAUCUUACGUAAUACAUAGAAUGUGUCAAAACCAGAACAUUGACGUCUAUAUCGUAAAAUUAACUUAGGUACAGACCGAAUUUGAAUUGCAUCAUGUUUUACACACUCUCAUCUUAAAUCAUUUAUUUUGGGAGUUUAUAGCACUAUGAAAUUUUAAGUAUGUGGAUCCACAUAACUAUCAGCAUAAUCCGGAUACAGAUUGUCCCACCACUACAAGGAGACUUCUUCAUGUUAUCCCUUCAGUAUAUAUUUUGCGGUGUUGAACGUCAGCUUUUGUUUAUGAACCUUUCAAACCUGAACAUGAAGCAUACUUCUACUUCUGGCUUCACUAUUUAACAUUCAGUUUGUUAAAAUCUACAAAUCUAUUUGUUACAGUGUUUCUAAACCCUUAAACAUCACCAACAUAUAAACAUGUACACAUUGCGUGAAUUCUCUUAAGUAUUUAAAUCUUGAUUCUAAAUGUAAUUAAUCAAAUUCUACAAAACUUUUCAAUAAAAUCAAAUUUAAUUUGAGAAAUUUUUAACUGAUUAAGUCACCUUGGAAACAGGCAUUACAGGGUAUUAUAAUGGUUUCAAAAUUUAUUUUUAUAGUUCUUACCCUAAUACAAAAGUGAUAUUAUGAUAUUGAUUUAUUUCUUCACUUUUUAUUAUGUUUAUAUUAUACCUCCCAGGUUAUAGCAAUCUUACCACACUCAAAAAGAAUAUAUAAUCUCACAAAGAUGUAAGAUGAUGGAUUUUGGAGUAUAAAUAACCGAUUUUUGGUCAUGGCACAAGAUCUGGUUGUGUCUGAGCUCUUUCCAACCUAGAUGAGAGCACACAGGUCCUUCUCUUUACAAUCAUCUCUCACUUGCAAAUGGAACUUUUCAAGCUCAUCUCUUUAACAACCUUCCCAGCCCUUCCCUGCCAAAAGAAAAAACUGGCUUUUUUGUACCUGGGCUACAGUGCAAAACCCAUUAUCUUCCCAAGUUCAUUCAUAAUUUUGAUAGAGUCUCUUAACAUUUUUGGAAAUUUGAGUAUGUUUUGUUCACAUCUUCUUAUGAUGAGAAGCCUUAUCCAGGGUUUUGUAAUUCAUGAGAUGUGAAUCUAGCAUGUGCAGUCUGCUUUCCCCUUGGGUCCUCUGAUUGGUCCAUCAUCUUGAUGCACUCUCUGGAAUUCUUUCUCCACGUGUCUAUUGUGUAUGAGCACCAGGUUCCCUCAGUCCUUCCUAUUCUUAAUAAAAUCCUUUCUUCUCCCAGAAAUAUUUUGUUUACUCACAAUUCCCAAAAUGUACCCAUUUCUGCCUACAUAGAUAAAAAUUCAAGAUAUACUUCAUAGAAACUACAUUUGCCACCUGUAUCAACUAUCCCAAAUGCAUUACAAUUAAUAAAAAAUAAGCAUAUACUAUCCAGUCAAUGACAAUUUUUUAUUUUACAGCUAUCUUUUAGUACAUUUUAUUAAGUGGCACCUGAUUUGAGGGGUUUUGAUGAUGAGAUUGCUGUAGCUUUUAUACAUGCUUUUAUAAGCAACAGGUAGGGGUUUCCUGAUGACAUUUUUGUGUUCUGGCAAAAACAAGGCAUUCUAUUCCCAAGUACAUUUUUUUUUUCAAACCCCAAGACAUGAAAUCAAGUAAGCAAAUAGUUUAAGUGAUUCAAAUAAAGGACAGUAUUUAUUAGUUGACACAUAUGAGAGAGAACCUGAAAACCAGGUAACUCCCCCCGAACAAAGCAGGAUUGGAGUUUUACAGGAGAAGAAGAGAAGGUUGUGUUUCCUUGUGAUCUGGCCUGAAUUGCAU